This 467-nucleotide ribosomal RNA is filed under the name uncultured bacterium. RNAcentral's name for it is "partial 16S ribosomal RNA". It matches the Rfam family "Bacterial small subunit ribosomal RNA", at positions 28 to 507 of the family's 1533-position model. The record is from RNAcentral.
GACGAACGCUGGCGGCGUGCUUAACACAUGCAAGUCGAACGGAAAGGCCUCUUUCGGGGGGUACUCGAGUGGCGAACGGGUGAGUAACACGUGAGUAACCUGCCCUUGACUUUGGGAUAACUUCAGGAAACUGGGGCUAAUACCGGAUAGGAGCUCCUGCUGCAUGGUGGGGGUUGGAAAGUUUCGGCGGUUGGGGAUGGACGCGCGGCUUAUCAGCUUGUUGGUGGGGUAGUGGCUUACCAAGGCUUUGACGGGUAGCCGGCCUGAGAGGGUGACCGGCCACAUUGGGACUGAGAUACGGCCCAGACUCCUACGGGAGGCAGCUGUGGGGAAUAUUGCACAAUGGGUGGAAGCCUGAUGCAGCAACGCCGUGUGCGGGAUGACGGUCUUCGUGUUGUAAACCGCUUUCGCUCAUGACGAAGCUUUGUGUGACGGUAGUGGGUAAAGAAGCACCGGCUAACUACGUG